GACGAACGCUGGCGGCGUGCCUAAUACAUGCAAGUAGAACGCUGAAGGAGGAGCUUGCUCUUCUGGAUGAGUUGCGAACGGGUGAGUAACGCGUAGGUAACCUGCCUGGUAGCGGGGGAUAACUAUUGGAAACGAUAGCUAAUACCGCAUAAGAGUAGAUGUUGCAUGACAUUUACUUAAAAGGUGCAAUUGCAUCACUACCAGAUGGACCUGCGUUGUAUUAGCUAGUUGGUGGGGUAACGGCUUACCAAGGCGACGAUACAUAGCCGAGCUGGGAGGGGGGUGGGCCACACUGGGAACGAGACAAGGCCCAGACGGCUACGGGAGGCAGCAGUAGGGACAGUGGGGAAAAGGACGGAAGUGGGACAGAGCAAAGCCGGGGGCGUGAAGAAGGGUUUCGGAUCGUACAGCUCUGUAGCAAGUGAAGAACGAGUGUGAGCGUGGAAAGUUCACACGGUGACGGUAUCGGACCAGAAAGGGACGGCUAACUACGUG
RNAcentral lists this ribosomal RNA (495 nucleotides) under uncultured bacterium. Its description in RNAcentral is "partial 16S ribosomal RNA". It matches the Rfam family "Bacterial small subunit ribosomal RNA", at positions 28 to 507 of the family's 1533-position model. The record is from RNAcentral.